CCCCCCACCGUAUACACAUUUCUCAUCUGCACUUCUGGUGGGUAACAAAAAGUAGGACUUUUCCUUUUUGGCCCACCCCUAAAUGAGUCAAUUGGCGCAUAGUAAGCAAAGACACACUCAUAACAGUAAAACGGUUAUUGCACGAUUGACCGCCCUAGAUGAUUAACCCAUUUCCUCUUGUACUUUUAAUACCUCUAUAUAUUUGCAGAAAAUGCACCUGCAGUUUACAGCAGAAUUGCCGCCAGGUGAAUUUGGUGAUCCGAUAGUAGGUAAACACUUAAGGUCCAUCCAUGUAAAUCAAAAUGCAC
This 308-nucleotide long non-coding RNA is filed under the name Rattus norvegicus (Norway rat). RNAcentral's name for it is "long non-coding RNA NONRATT018765". Lineage: Eukaryota; Metazoa; Chordata; Mammalia; Rodentia; Muridae. The record is from RNAcentral.